This 560-nucleotide ribosomal RNA is filed under the name Desmazierella acicola. Its description in RNAcentral is "eukaryotic LSU rRNA". It matches the Rfam family "Eukaryotic large subunit ribosomal RNA", at positions 43 to 605 of the family's 3401-position model. The record is from RNAcentral. Lineage: Eukaryota; Fungi; Ascomycota; Pezizomycetes; Pezizales; Sarcoscyphaceae.
UCAAUAAGCGGAGGAAAAGAAACCAACAGGGAUUGCCUUAGUAACUGCGAGUGAAGCGGCAAGAGCUCAAAUUUGAAAUCUGGCGCCUUUGGCGUCCGAGUUGUAAUUUGGAGAGGCAUCUUCGGGUGCGGCGCCGGCCUAAGUUCCUUGGAACAGGACGUCAUAGAGGGUGAGAAUCCCGUUCUCGGCUGGCUGUCCGCGUCCAUGUGAAGUGUCUUCGACGAGUCGAGUUGUUUGGGAAUGCAGCUCAAAAUGGGUGGUAAACUCCAUCUAAAGCUAAAUACUGGCGAGAGACCGAUAGCGCACAAGUAGAGUGAUCGAAAGAUGAAAAGCACUUUGAAAAGAGAGUUAAAAAGUACGUGAAAUUGUUGAAAGGGAAGCGCUUGAGACCAGACUCGGCGGGAGGUAUUCAUCGUCCCUUCUGGGGCGUGCACUUGCCUCUCGUCGGGCCAGCAUCGGUUGCGGCGGCGGGAUAAAGACCCGGGGAACGUGGCUGCUCUCGGGCAGUGUUAUAGCCCCGGGUGUCAUGCCGCCUGCUGCGACCGAGGACCGCGCUCGGC